RNAcentral lists this non-coding RNA (226 nucleotides) under Fictibacillus enclensis. Its description in RNAcentral is "T-box sequence". It matches the Rfam family "T-box leader". Rfam says of the family: Uncharged tRNA acts as the effector for transcription antitermination of genes in the T-box leader family. T-boxes are found upstream of many aminoacyl-tRNA synthetase genes and some amino acid biosynthetic genes usually in Gram-positive bacteria. Lineage: Bacteria; Bacillati; Bacillota; Bacilli; Caryophanales; Fictibacillaceae. The record is from RNAcentral.
AAAUGAGUAAAGAUAAGGACAUGUGAUAUUUUUUACGGUUUAUAGAGAGGAAUGCCCAGGCUGAAAGCAUUCCAACACGGAAAAAUGUUGUACCCCCUUUGAACUUCAGCGGUGAAAAACAGGAGUAGUCGCUGACGGCCCAAAGCCGUUAAAUCUUGACCGAGUGCCGCCGCAUAUUUUGCCGCGGAACAAGGGUGGAACCACGAGUACAACACUCGUCCCUUUU